AGCUCAAGUUACCCCCUAAGUUGGCCAUUUCCUUUGGAAAUUCUUUAGAGGGCGUUCGCCGACGAAUGCCAAAAUCAAUAGCUUGAUUCCUUCAUUCCCUAAAGAAUGUAAAUUCUGUGGGAAUUUGGAAACUGUGCAAAAUCUAUUUUUCAGAUGUCGAAAAGCUAAAAAGAUUUCUCUCUUCUCCAUUGAUGCUUCGAUCCCUUCAUCCACAUGGACAUCUUCACUAGAUUGCUGGCUUGAAAUUACUUCUACUCUUCGAGGUGUUGAACAAGCUCAGGAUCAUGUGGUGAUGAUGGUAUUCCUUUCGUGGAGUACUUGGAAAAGUCGCAGCCAAUUCAUUUUUGGAAACCAAGCUAAUUCCAGCAUAAGGAGCUAAUUUCAGCAGCACUUGCCUGUUUGGAUGAAUUUUCCUCUGCUCUAGAAUUACCUUCCCAGCAGUAAAGGGACAACCAUCAUCCUUCAAUUACCUGGUUACCUCCACCUCAAGGCAUUGUCAAAAUUAACUUCGAUGAGG
RNAcentral lists this unclassified non-coding RNA (517 nucleotides) under Hevea brasiliensis (rubber tree). Lineage: Eukaryota; Viridiplantae; Streptophyta; Magnoliopsida; Malpighiales; Euphorbiaceae. The record is from RNAcentral.